GGUCCCGUAGCUCAGUUGGAUAGAGCAACAGACUUCUAAUCUGUAGGUCGUGGGUUCGAAUCCCGCCGGGAUCACCA
Molecule: transfer RNA, 77 nt
Filed under: Rikenellaceae bacterium
Lineage: Bacteria; Pseudomonadati; Bacteroidota; Bacteroidia; Bacteroidales; Rikenellaceae
Description: tRNA-Arg
Rfam family: tRNA
About the family: Transfer RNA (tRNA) molecules are approximately 80 nucleotides in length. Their secondary structure includes four short double-helical elements and three loops (D, anti-codon, and T loops).
Source: RNAcentral